GAUAUUUGCAGUUUCUACCUUUUGAUCCUUGUGAACAUUGUUUGGGCUGGGGGCUAGGGUUAGGGUCUUAGAUCGGGGUCAUCGCUAGACAUGAGACAAAGUUGAGGUUAGAGUGUGGGUCUGCGUUAGGGCCAGGGUCAUGUUCGGUGCCAUCAUUUGGGUCAGGGACUGUUGUCAUUCCAUAUUGUUUCCAAUUCAUUGUUCCUUAGAUAUUUUUGGAGGAGCUGGGAGGAUACUGGGCUCCAUUCAGCUUGAAUUUCCAGAAUGAAAUGACUUCAGCUGGACCCCGGGAGGGAGCAGGUGCUUCCACUGAAGCGUGAGCUCCGCUAGUCCUGCACUGCCCUCCACCACCUGAAGAGGGCGCCCGACCCCAGGUCCCGCCCUGAGUCUGGCCUGCGCAGGCGCAGCUGGGACAGGAGCCCGGCCUCCUCAGGACUGGCUGUCGAGGUUUCUGGAGAACGUGGGGCCGCUCCCAUACAGACGGGACCUGCUGUGGCGGCUUUGAGGAGUUGUGGGUCCGGUUCCACACCAACAGGAGCCUGGUCUCCUCAGGACCUACUGUCGAGGCUUCCGGGUGAUGUGGGGCUGCGUCCACACCAACAGGACCCGCUGUGGAGGACGUGCGGCCGUGUCCACACCGACAGGACCCGCUGUAGAGGACAUGAGGUCGCGUCCACACCGACAGGACCCGCUGUAGAGGACAUGAGGUCGCGUCCACACCGACGGGACACAUUGUGGAGGAUGUGGGGUCUUGUCCACACUAACAUGACCUGCUGCUGUAGAGGACAUGGGGCCGCGUCCACACUGACAGGACCCACUGUGGAGGAGGUGGGGCCGCGUCCACACCGACAGGACUCCGGCGUUCUCAGGACCCGCCGCGGGAGGAGAAGGAGGAAAUCUGUCUCUUGAAUUCCCAAGGGCUGAGAAGAAAGCGAAUUGCCAUGUGCUGAUUCACC
Mustela putorius furo (domestic ferret) is the source of this 956-nucleotide long non-coding RNA. NCBI's taxonomy places the organism in Eukaryota, Metazoa, Chordata, Mammalia, Carnivora, Mustelidae. The record is from Ensembl.